RNAcentral lists this non-coding RNA (45 nucleotides) under Schistosoma mattheei. Lineage: Eukaryota; Metazoa; Platyhelminthes; Trematoda; Strigeidida; Schistosomatidae. The record is from RNAcentral.
AUUCAGCUGACAAGUCCCAAAUAAGGGGAAACGCGCGUCUUGAAC